This 519-nucleotide long non-coding RNA is filed under the name Carica papaya (papaya). RNAcentral describes it as "long non-coding RNA (CPAP_LNC001763)". Lineage: Eukaryota; Viridiplantae; Streptophyta; Magnoliopsida; Brassicales; Caricaceae. The record is from RNAcentral.
CUUCUCUGUCUCCGCCAACCAAUACUGGGCAUCUUCAAAAGAGGACUCCCCUACAAAAGUGGAAGGGUUCAGUCUCCUGUACCUCUCUACGUAGCCCGGGUCAAUCAGGGAAGGAGCUGGGUCCUGUGGAAGAGGGACUGGGCCGGGUGGAGGAUAGACUGGGGGGCCCUGUGGUGGCACCUGCUGAUAUAAUGGGGGCACUGGAUUGUACUGUGGUGGUGCCGAGCAGUACUGUGGCUGGGGCACCGAUUAUACUGCAGCGGUGGUGCCGGGGGGUACUGUAGAGGAGCAGGCUCGUGCCGGGGUGGCUCGGGAUCCACUCACUGUAGCAGUGGCUCAACCUGUGGUAGUGGGGGAGGAUCGGGUGACUCCCUUCUCUCCUGUCGGCCUUGCUAGGCAGCAAUGAUCCUUUCUAGCAUCUCAAAUAUUCUGUCCACAUCUUUCCGAAGCGAAUCAUCCCGGGCUGCUCGGUUUAGCAGGGGUCUUCCUCUCCUCAUCUCUCUACACCUGUAUUUCACA